This 445-nucleotide ribosomal RNA is filed under the name uncultured Rhodospirillaceae bacterium. RNAcentral describes it as "bacterial SSU rRNA". It matches the Rfam family "Bacterial small subunit ribosomal RNA", at positions 29 to 505 of the family's 1533-position model. Lineage: Bacteria; Pseudomonadati; Pseudomonadota; Alphaproteobacteria; Rhodospirillales; Rhodospirillaceae. The record is from RNAcentral.
AACGAACGCUGGCGGCAGGCCUAACACAUGCAAGUCGAACGAGAAGCCAGGGCUUGCCCUGGUGGAUAGUGGCGCACGGGUGAGUAACGCGUGGGAACCUGCCCUGGGGUGGGGAACAACCGCUGGAAACGGCGGCUAAUACCGCAUACGUCCUUUGGGAGAAAGGCUUCGGCCGCCCCUGGAUGGUCCCGCGUCUGAUUAGCUUGUUGGUGAGGUAACGGCUCACCAAGGCGACGAUCAGUAGCUGGUCUGAGAGGAUGAUCAGCCACACUGGAACUGAGACACGGUCCAGACUCCUACGGGAGGCAGCAGUGGGGAAUAUUGGACAAUGGGCGAAAGCCUGAUCCAGCCAUGCCGCGUGAGUGAAGAAGGCCUUAGGGUUGUAAAGCUCUUUCAGUCGUGAAGAUGGUGACUGUAGCGACAGAAGAAGCCCCGGCUAACUCCG